ACUCACAAGCAUGGAGUCCAUGUGUGGUAGGCGGUUCAUUAAAAUGGCAUCUAAGGAAAUGAAAAACAGCCUGCAUUCAAAAUACAUGCAUGGCCCAUCUGAUUAGAAGUUGAGACUAUGUCCUUCUUUCUCGGCCAAGGUAGGUACAAAGUUUCUCGUCUGUUUGUUGAGUGGUGUCGGAUUUGUGAACUUCCUGGCAAUACUGAUGUCGCUUAUACCCAUUAUAUCUCACAGUUACUACAAAGUGGGUUGCUUAAAGGGGAUGAUCUCACGGAUCGCUUUUUCCGAAUCCUCAUGGAAAUUUCUGUAGCAAAUUGUUUGGCAACUGACAUGAUUAAUCCAAGCUCAUUGUCCCUAUAAACGCCACAACAAGUCCAACAUCUCUCAUUUGCUGUUAUUGAUAUGUAUGCAAAGCUUGUGGUUUUAGUUAUUAAGUAUUGUACGGUGGACCAGGGAUCAAGUAAAGUGUUUCUCUUGCCCAAGAUUUUGUCAGUGAUUGUGAGAGUUAUCCAAAAGGAUGCAGAAGAGAAGAAAGCUGCUUUCAGCCGAAAGGCAUAUUUCAGAUUGUUUCUGAACUGGCUUUUGGACCUUGGUUCCCCUGACCCUAUCCUUGAUAGUUCCAACUUUCAGGUUCACUUUCUGUACAAAGGCACUCUAAGGGUGCUCUUGGUACUGCCUCAGGAUUUUCCGGAGUUCCUUUGUGAUUAUCAUUUCAGCUUCUGUGAUGUGAUUCCACCCAGUUGCAUUCAAAUGCGGAAUGUUAUUCAAAGUGCAUUCCCAUAAAACAUGAGAUUGAUUUGCUGGCUGAAAUCAGCCAAUCACCGAGCAUUCUCUUUGAGGUUGAUGGUGCUCUGAAAGCAAAGCAGAUUAAGGCUGACAUUGAUGAGUAUCUCAAGUUAUCUUGAGUUGUCAUUAUUUUUCUCUACCUAACAUUGAGAAAUUCUCUUAUUUUCAUAUUUACAUAACAAACCAAGCUAUACUAUUU
Magnolia sinica is the source of this 985-nucleotide RNA transcript. RefSeq lists it as uncharacterized. Lineage: Eukaryota; Viridiplantae; Streptophyta; Magnoliopsida; Magnoliales; Magnoliaceae. The record is from RefSeq and is a predicted model, not a curated record. The transcript is spliced from 7 exons.